UACGGAGGGUGCAAGCGUUAAUCGGAAUUACUGGGCGUAAAGCGUGCGCAGGCGGUUUGCUAAGACAGGUGUGAAAUCCCCGGGCUUAACCUGGGAACUGCGCUUGUAACUGGCAAGCUAGAGUGUGGCAGAGGGGGGUGGAAUUCCACGUGUAGCAGUGAAAUGCGUAGAGAUGUGGAGGAACACCGAUGGCGAAGGCAGCCCCCUGGGCUAACACUGACGCUCAUGCACGAAAGCGUGGGGAGCAAACAGG
RNAcentral lists this ribosomal RNA (253 nucleotides) under uncultured bacterium. RNAcentral describes it as "partial 16S ribosomal RNA". It matches the Rfam family "Bacterial small subunit ribosomal RNA", at positions 524 to 776 of the family's 1533-position model. The record is from RNAcentral.